RNAcentral lists this unclassified non-coding RNA (323 nucleotides) under Hevea brasiliensis (rubber tree). The record is from RNAcentral. Lineage: Eukaryota; Viridiplantae; Streptophyta; Magnoliopsida; Malpighiales; Euphorbiaceae.
UAGAAUAUUGAAGGAGCUUGGAGAUGGAACAUGUGGUAAUGUAUAUAAGGCCAUUAAUACCGAAACAUCUGAAAUUGUUGCAGUAAAGAAAAUGAAGAGGAAGUUCUAUUUUUGGGAAGAAUGCAUUAAUCUACGUGAAAUAAAGUCCCUCCGUAAAUUGAAUCAUCCUAACAUCAUCAAACUGAAAGAGAUUGUCAGGGAAAACAAUGAGCUUUUCUUCAUACUUGAGUACAUGGAAUGUAACUUGUACCAACUAAUGAAAGAUCGGCAAAGACCUUUCCUAGAGGAAGAGAUUCGAGGAUUGAUGUCUCAGGUGUUGCAAG